GUGAAUCAUCAAAUUUUUGAACGCAAAUUGCACUCUCCGGUUUUCCGGGAGAGUAUGCCUGUUUGAGGGUCAGCCUAAAAAAAAUCGACAUUGUUGCUGUUUUUUGGGGACUUUCGCCGGAGAUGGGUUAUCUUAAAUUCGGGUUUAAGCGACUUAAAAUUUUUUUUUCCGUUUCUAAGAUUUUUUUAAAGAUUUUCUUUGUACGUUUAAGGAA
Molecule: unclassified non-coding RNA, 214 nt
Filed under: Glomeraceae sp.
Lineage: Eukaryota; Fungi; Glomeromycota; Glomeromycetes; Glomerales; Glomeraceae
Description: partial contains 5.8S ribosomal RNA and internal transcribed spacer 2
Rfam family: 5.8S ribosomal RNA (bases 1-72)
Source: RNAcentral